UCGGGAAUUUUGGACAAUGGGCGAAAGCCUGAUCCAGCCAUGCCGCGUGAGUGACGAAGGCCUUAGGGUUGUAAAACUCUUUCGUCGGGGACGAUAAUGACGGUACCCGAAGAAGAAGCUCCGGCUAACUUCGUGCCAGCAGCCGCGGUAAUACGAAGGGAGCUAGCGUUGUUCGGAAUCACUGGGCGUAAAGCGCACGUAGGCGGAUAGUUAAGUCAGGGGGUGAAAUCCUGGGGCUCAACCCCAGAACUGCCUUUGAUACUGGCUGUCUCGAGGUCGAGAGAGGUUGGUGGAAUUCCUAGUGUAGAGGUGAAAUUCGUAGAUAUUAGGAAGAACACCAGUGGCGAAGGCGGCCAACUGGCUCGAUACUGACGCUGAGGCGCGAAAGCGUGGGGAGCAAACAGGAUUAGAUACCCCUGUAGUCCCUGAGCGGGCUGGCAAGGCGCAU
This 448-nucleotide ribosomal RNA is filed under the name uncultured bacterium. RNAcentral describes it as "bacterial SSU rRNA". It matches the Rfam family "Bacterial small subunit ribosomal RNA", at positions 355 to 825 of the family's 1533-position model. The record is from RNAcentral.